Molecule: long non-coding RNA, 832 nt
Organism: Bemisia tabaci
Lineage: Eukaryota; Metazoa; Arthropoda; Insecta; Hemiptera; Aleyrodidae
Source: RefSeq, a predicted model, not a curated record
AGCGACUUCAGUCACGUGAUCUAAUUGGGUUGACAUUUGUCGUUGAAGUCCGUUUAAGCAUGAGUCCUAUUUUCCUCUGCUCGGAAUCGUUCAUUUAGUGCUCUAAUUUAGUGUUCUAGUCCCAUCUCUGGGAUGAACCACGUUUGGCCGCUUCGAGUAUGUUCCUUCAGUGCUUGUUUAUGUUCAUCGUCAUCCUUUUCAUCGUAUUUUUGCUUGUUCUCUUUUACUUUUAUUUCUCUAUCUAAUGGUUGCCAUGACUCGAGUGGAGCGAAAUUUCCCACCGGACGGAGACUGACUUUUAUCGAAUGAAAAUUAUGGGAAAAGCGGGGAAAGUAUUUUCCUUCGGUGGAAGUGUCAAUGUGAAAACGGAUAAUCGGACAUUGAGUUGAAAUUGGAUGAUGGACUUUUCGACUCAUUAAUCCGUACGUCUGCAUAGACUAUACUGAUUUUUUGGGCACGAUUUAGAAGUUGUUUCGAAAAAUCAAUUCAUUAGACUGAUUCUGAUUCGUAAGACGCAAGUGUUGAGAUGGAUCCGUUCCUUUGAAACAAGCUCUUCCGUCAAGCCAAACCAAAGGAUAAAACAGCAUUCGAGCAAGUUGAAAAUGACUUUUCUCUUUUCAAUUAUUCAAAAUUUUCUUGAAAACUCAAAACCAAUUCAAUUCAGUCAACUAAUAAAUGGCAUUUUUGUGGUAUUAUGUUGGCCCUUUCCUCCUGUUUACGAUACUAGACACUCAGUUAUGCGGAGAUCACAGCCAAUUGUAAAUUAUUUCGUGUAUAAAGAUAUUUAAUAAUAAAUUAUUGAUAACAUUAUCCUCAAAAACUUUGAACAAUA